AGGGUUCGAUCAUGGCUCAGGAUGAACGCUAGCGGCACGCUUCAUACAUGCAAGUCGAGGGGCAGCAUAAAUUACUUGUAAUUUGAUGGCGACCGGCGAACGGGUGCGUAACGCGUAUGCAACUUACCUUUUACUAGAGAAUAGCCAAGAGAAAUUUUGAUUAAUGCUCUAUACUCUUAUUAAUUCACAUGAGUUUUUAAGAAAAGCUCCGGCGGUAAAAGAUGGGCAUGCGUCCUAUUAGCUUGUAGGUGAGGUAACGGCUCACCUAAGCUCCGAUAGGUAGGGGUCCUGAGAGGGAGAUCCCCCACACUGGUACUGAGACACGGACCAGACUUCUACGGAAGGCAGCAGUAAGGAAUAUUGGACAAUGGAGGAAACUCUGAUCCAGCGAUGCCGCGUGAAGGAAGACGGCCCUAUGGGUUGUAAACUUCUUUUAUACAGGAAUAAACCUAUCCACGUGUGGAUAGCUGAAGGUACUGUAAGAAUAAGGAUCGGCUAACUCCGUGCCAGCAGCCGCGGUAAU
RNAcentral lists this ribosomal RNA (523 nucleotides) under uncultured bacterium. RNAcentral's name for it is "bacterial SSU rRNA". It matches the Rfam family "Bacterial small subunit ribosomal RNA", at positions 8 to 524 of the family's 1533-position model. The record is from RNAcentral.